CAGCAUGUUGCCAAGGGCUGUGGAUGGUUGUGGCCGUGGAUUCUCCAAAUACUUGUGAGCAACAUGGAGAGACUUUGAGAGCACCGAACCCACAGGUGCCGCUCGCUUUUCCAAUGUUU
Small nucleolar RNA from Oryctolagus cuniculus (rabbit), 119 nucleotides. NCBI's taxonomy places the organism in Eukaryota, Metazoa, Chordata, Mammalia, Lagomorpha, Leporidae. The record is from Ensembl.